RNAcentral lists this ribosomal RNA (480 nucleotides) under uncultured Flavobacteriaceae bacterium. Its description in RNAcentral is "bacterial SSU rRNA". It matches the Rfam family "Bacterial small subunit ribosomal RNA", at positions 28 to 505 of the family's 1533-position model. Lineage: Bacteria; Pseudomonadati; Bacteroidota; Flavobacteriia; Flavobacteriales; Flavobacteriaceae. The record is from RNAcentral.
GAUGAACGCUAGCGGCAGGCCUAACACAUGCAAGUCGAGGGGUAACAUAGUAGCUUGCUACUGAUGACGACCGGCGCACGGGUGCGUAACGCGUAUGCAACCUACCUCUUACUGGGGAAUAGCCUCUGGAAACGGAGAUUAAUGCCCCAUAGUAUCUUGGACCCUCCUGGGUUUAAGAUUAAAGGUUACGGUAAGAGAUGGGCAUGCGUCCUAUUAGCUAGAUGGUGUGGUAACGGCACACCAUGGCGACGAUAGGUAGGGGCCCUGAGAGGGGGAUCCCCCACACUGGUACUGAGACACGGACCAGACUCCUACGGGAGGCAGCAGUGAGGAAUAUUGGACAAUGGGCGGAAGCCUGAUCCAGCCAUGCCGCGUGCAGGAAGACUGCCCUAUGGGUUGUAAACUGCUUUUGUACGGGAAGAAACACUCCUACGUGUAGGGGCUUGACGGUACCGUAAGAAUAAGCAUCGGCUAACUCCG